AUACGGAGGAUGCGAGCGUUAUCCGGAUUUAUUGGGUUUAAAGGGUGCAUAGGCGGUCGGGUAAGCGUUGGGUGAAAGUCCUUUGCUCAACAGAGGAAGUGCCUUCCGAACUGUUCGACUGGAGUGCUCCUGCCCUGGGAGGGAUUGGUGGCGUAGCGGUGAAAUGCAUAGAGAUCACACAGAACACCGAUUGCGAAGGCAUCUCGCGAAGGGGCUAUUGACGCUGAGGCACGAAAGCGUGGGGAUCAAACAGGAUUAGAUACCCUGGUAGUCCACGCAGUAAACGAUGAUGACUAACCGUCGGUCAAGACUGAUCGGUGGCCAAGCGAAAGCGAUAAGUCAUCCACCUGGGGAGUACGACCGCAAGGUUGAAACUCAAAUGAAUUGACGGGG
This 393-nucleotide ribosomal RNA is filed under the name uncultured bacterium. RNAcentral's name for it is "partial 16S ribosomal RNA". It matches the Rfam family "Bacterial small subunit ribosomal RNA", at positions 523 to 918 of the family's 1533-position model. The record is from RNAcentral.